This 450-nucleotide ribosomal RNA is filed under the name uncultured Glomeromycotina. Its description in RNAcentral is "SSU rRNA". It matches the Rfam family "Eukaryotic small subunit ribosomal RNA", at positions 569 to 1024 of the family's 1831-position model. Lineage: Eukaryota; Fungi; Glomeromycota. The record is from RNAcentral.
AGCAGCCGCGGUAAUUCCAGCUCCAAUAGCGUAUAUUAAAGUUGUUGCAGUUAAAAAGCUCGUAGUUGAAUUUCGGGAUCAAUACGUCGGUCGUGCUUCGGUACGUACUGGCGUCAUUGAUUUCUCCCUUCUGACGAACCAUGAUGUCAUUAACUUGGUGUCAUGGGAAAUCAGGACUGUUACUUUGAAAAAAUUAGAGUGUUUAAAGCAGGCUUUAGCUUGAAUACAUUAGCAUGGAAUAAUGAAAUAGGACGUUUGAUCCUAUUUUGUUGGUUUCUAGGAUUGACGUAAUGAUUAAUAGGGAUAGUUGGGGGCAUUAGUAUUCAAUUGUCAGAGGUGAAAUUCUUGGAUUUAUUGAAGACUAACUACUGCGAAAGCAUUUGCCAAGGAUGUUUUCAUUAAUCAAGAACGAAAGUUAGGGGAUCGAAGACGAUCAGAUACCGUCGUAGU